This 4367-nucleotide long non-coding RNA is filed under the name Mus musculus (house mouse). RNAcentral describes it as "long non-coding RNA chr9:102172737-102177104". The record is from RNAcentral. Lineage: Eukaryota; Metazoa; Chordata; Mammalia; Rodentia; Muridae.
AAGUUACACAGAAACCCAAGCCACCUGGACUGGAGUAAGGACUAUAACCCAUUGGUUCUGCUCAGUAUUGUCUUCUGGUCACCCCACAUAAGAAACAUCUAGAAGCUUCUAUCUCCUGGUUAUUCUAACCUUACAGCUGAAGCCUCAGACAGUGGAGCAGAGGCAAUGUCUGGUUACACCCAUCCAACUUCCUGACGCAGAGAAACAGCAUGCAUAAAAGAAGCAGCGGCUGUCUUAUACAACCACUGAUGCCUUUGCUAUUCAGCCACUGUAGCCACAGGUAACCAAAGUACCGUUCUACCAGCUAAGGUCUCCAGCUUGGUACUAUAACAGUAACCCACACCAGUCUCACUGGAGCCUCAAGAGGUCAAUGAAUAACUGAAGGUCCAGAUGCCACCUGCUAGUCAGGGGGUCCUGUGUCUCUGUUUCCAUUUUUUCCUUCCAAAAAGCAAGAGUACGAAUCUCCACAGCAAUAACACCUUCAAAAGACUAUUGUGGGAACAACGGGAGCAUGUGGCUUGCUAAGCCCUGCAUGAACACUCAUUUGUACUGUCAGCACAGUGAAAGGAGCCCCUUCCAAAUGCUUUCAUGAAGAACAUGAGCUAUUUAUGAAGAAGGGAGUGAGUUACACAAACACACACACACACACACACACACACACACACACACACACACAGAGUUACCUCUUCCUGAAGACAAAGGAUUCAUCUGGAACAAAAGUCUAAAGUUGCAAGAAGAACUGAAACAUAUCAAUCUGGUUGGCUUCCCCCCACCCUUCUCUCUCCUUUUAAACACACUCCUUUACCAAAGUUAUAAAAUUGCACACAAUAGCUUCCAAAGAUCUAAUCAUCGGAUUUCUUCUUAAGAUUUCUAGGUUAAAAAUAGCUUAAAUAUACUUCUCCUGUCAGUCAAAUCACAGGGUAGAAGAUACUGUAUACCAUUCUAAAUAUAAGUUGAGGAUAUAGCUUUCCCCAAAGAAAAAUACUCCAAGAUAAUGAUUUUUUAUUUCUUGGAGACCCUGGCAAGCUGCGUCAUGGGGCCAGCAGUUGCUGGCUUCUAGAUGCCAGGACCAAAGCCAUGCAGCUCUCUGUGAGGAGAGCAAGAAGGAGGACAAGCAGGAAGUGAGGUUCUAUUUUACUCUCUUGAGGUCAGAUGGCAGCAAUGGUGACCUCUUUUGUCCUUUCUGAUGUCUCUUACGCUGAUCCCUUCUUCCCUUCUUCGCUCAUUAAACUUCUCUCUGGGUGCCUGGCCACACCUCCACCUGGACUUGCACAGGAGUCAUCUGAGGCCAUUCUGGCCCUGUAGACCUGAGAUGGUACCAGUUGAAGGAAAAUUGGAGAAAAUGCAGGGGUUAGUGCCUAUGGGACAAGAAGGUAUGAGAAGCCAGACUUGGUACUGAGAUUCCUUUAGCACUGUGUAGCAAGAAUGUAGCAGACAUGAUCGAAAGGGUGACAGGAGAUCGGCACAUAGACAGGUCCAGAUGUGCUUGGGGUAAGCAUCCCAAGAACAGUUGUGGAAAAUAUCCUGGUGCUAGAACAGCAGCCAAGGAGAUCAGAGGACUACUCACAACAGCCGUAGAGUAAUCAAUGGAAAGAGGCAGAAGCCUGCGGGGUUCUUCCACAGUGGAAUCUACACACUUGUUACAUUGAUGGAUUGGGGAAGAGAGGCAGGUUCUAUAAUGGUAAUAAGGAAAGCCUUGUAUACACCCCUAGUUUUGAAACUUCACAAAUAGUGUCUGCGGCCCUCUGUGAGAUUAAGGAACCGGAGGCUGAUGAGUGAGUUUGUUGGAAAAUGCCUGGCACCUUUCUUAUAGAUUCCAUCACCUGGCCUCCUUCAAAUGCGCCUGGACACAAGAGACAGGGAACAAGACAAGAGAGGCUCUGGGUAAGGGUAUCUUUUACAGAAAGAAAGGCCACACCAGUGGAAGACCUCUGUCCCUGGAAUAGAUGUCAGUCAGAGGACAAUCUCUUGCUCCUCAGGCCUGUUAUCUUAUUUUGGAGAGGGUCUUUCAUUGACCUGGAACUCAAUAAGCAAGAGAGGGAUGUGUCUCCCCAGAGCUGGGAUUACAAUAUGCAGCCACAGGAAUUACUCUGUUUGUUUGUUCCUUGGCUUCAUUAUGGGUUUUCACAUAGGUUCUGGGAACCAAACACACGCAUUUGUAGUUACAAGGCAUGUGCUUCCCCAACUUAGCUAUCUCACCAGCACCCAGUGUCUAUUCUUGUGUCUGUAUCUCUGUGGACAUCUGGGGUGGGGGCUCAAUAGGCAUCCUAGGAGAAGAGAAAAAGUCAUCCUUCUGAUGGAGAUGGGAGAAAGAAGACAGAGAGGAAAAAGGCUUUCUAGGGAAAGCACAGAGGUACCACAUAAUGAAAUUCCAAACCAGUGUAGUGAGAGCUACAGGAUGGAGCAUGGCUCUGGGAAGAAAGACUAGGAUGCUGUCAAGUUGGAAGGAAGAUGGGUAUGCGAAGUGGAGGGAAAAAACAGAAGAGGGUGUCUUGCUCUGUCACUGGGGGUGCUCUGCAAGCAACAUUCAGAGACUCGCCUGCCCGAGAAACAAGAAUGAAGGAGUGAGUACUUAAGGAAGUCUGCGGAGGAGAAGGGCAGGAAGGGAAUGCUCAGGCCCGGGCAGAAGAAGCAGUGUUUUCUGAGGGCCCUUCCUUCCUCAGCUCCCAAUUGCAGGAAGAACCAGGCUGGGAGCUGGGAUUUUCUGAAGCACCCUUCUUCGCUGCAUCGAAACCCACUAGCUGCUUCAGCAACAGCCACCAGGGCUUAUCAAGCAGGAAGCACAAGCUGAAAUUCUGCCCAAGGGCCUCCUCCAGUGUAAAUUGUAGCUGGGAUGGUAGCUUCAAGGACCUCUAGUCUUCCACUCUGAUGAGCUUCAAAGCUGGGUAUGCGGAUGAAGAAGCUACAGCAACAUCCGUCCCUCCCCGUAGCAAAGCACUCGCAAGGAAGCUUCAGCCGCCUCGCCCCAGCUUUAAUGCAGUAUAGACAAUAGACAGUUUUAAACGGUCAGAUUUUGAAGUUUGAUAAAUAACCAAUCUCUGUAGAGAUAAAUGACAUUAGGGUCUUGGGCAAAAUCAGGAAAUCAGGUGGGUGCGAAGUCUUGGCUCCACCCACCUCCAGCGCUGCUCGCAGUGUUGUAUAAAGGGUUGUUUAUGGAGGUGUGUGUGGUGCUUCUAGAAGAAAUGUCUGAGCCAUGAUGGGCGUUACAAAAGCACAGAAGAAGAGAUGGGGUGUCUUCUGGAUAAGCGACUCCUCAGAGUCCCCCAAAAUAACUAGCUACGUGAAAAGCAACACACACAUUGAAGCCACCCAAGAGAAAUUGUUCUGCAGCAAAACCAGAUUUAUCUUUGGCCAUGUUAGAAAGUUGGCAAGGUGGCCACAGUUCCCUGUCAUCCUUCUGGCCCCACCCAGUGCAGCCUUUAUUGUUCAAGGAAAGAAACUGAUCUCAUACAAAGCAGGGGACUGCCAGGCUGCAGUGCCCAGGGGAGCCACUUAGUCCAAUGAGUUGCUCCCUGUUUAUGGCUGUAGUAGACAUGGAUGGAGACUUGUGAGCAGGUCGGACUUGUUGACAGCCAACUGGCCCACGUAGGCCUCCUCUAACCAUGACAUCAGUACUCUCUGCCAUACCUCAUCUCAUUUCCCUGCCUUGACUUCCCCCUCCUUCCAGCAUCCUCAUCUAAUCACAUGAUCCUAUUGGAUCAUUUGUGCAUAUUUACACUCAAGAGUUCAAAUGGACUGUGUGCAGGCCCAUAUGGCUACCUUACAGUAGGUGAAAUGUCUUAUGCCUACUUCGUCCAAUUUGGUUUUUCUAGUAUUUUCUCAUUACCAAUCAUCCUUCUUUUAAAGAGAAUUUAACUAACUUUACUAACUUUAUGCCUACCUUGUGCAUACCACAGUGACUACCUCCUCAGGUUAUUGGGACAAUUAAAAUGAUCAGGUAUACACACUAGGUACUGGGCUGAUAAGGGCUAUAUGAGCAAACAUGGGGACAUCCCCAACCCAUCCUCCUGACUGAGCCCACCCUCCACCCCUAGGAAACUUGUGCUCCCGUCUCAGUGCAUGCUCCCAGAAGCCUUAGCUUCAAACCCAAGCCUUUAGGACAAGGCCUGCUCCUACCCAAAAUGCUCUGCUACCAGACUCGGGACUGCAAAAGAGAGGAUCAUCCUGACCCCCAGCUCAUUAGAUGUGGCAUCUGAGGUCCCUGGGCUCUCUGAGUCUCCAGAAAAGAGUUUCCAGCAUCGACUCCCUAACUCAAUAGAACAAAGUCAACAGCUUUGGAAACAACUUUCUUCCUCCAUUUAAAAAUAAGAUCAUGAAAAGUCCCCCGGAAAAAAAAAUCAAUGCCGGCUUUUUUAAAACUCCAAAUC